UGGCAGCCUCGCUGUCCGAGUUGUAAUUUGAAGAAGGUAUCUUUGGGUCUGGCGCUUGUCUAUGUUCCUUGGAACAGGACGUCACAGAGGGUGAGAAUCCCGUGCGACGGGCUGCCCAGAUCCGUGUAAAGUUCCUUCGAAGAGUCGAGUUGUUUGGGAAUGCAGCUCUAAGUGGGUGGUAAAUUCCAUCUAAAGCUAAAUAUUGGCGAGAGACCGAUAGCGAACAAGUACAGUGAUGGAAAGAUGAAAAGAACUUUGAAAAGAGAGUGAAAAAGUACGUGAAAUUGUUGAAAGGGAAGGGCAUGCGAUCAGACUUGGUAUUUUGUACGUCUUGUCUUCGGGCGGGGCCUCUGCAGCUUGCUGGGCCAGCAUCGGUUCGGGUGGCAGGACAAUUGCGGAGAAAUGUGGCACGGCCUCGGCUGUGUGUUAUAGUCUCUGUCGAUACUGCCUGCCUGGACCGAGGACUGCGUCUUUUACGACUAGGAUGCUGGCAUAAUGAUCGUACGCCGCCC
This 512-nucleotide ribosomal RNA is filed under the name Spathaspora sp. BG090807.3.1.1.1.2. RNAcentral describes it as "eukaryotic LSU rRNA". It matches the Rfam family "Eukaryotic large subunit ribosomal RNA", at positions 123 to 650 of the family's 3401-position model. Lineage: Eukaryota; Fungi; Ascomycota; Pichiomycetes; Serinales; Debaryomycetaceae. The record is from RNAcentral.